This 669-nucleotide ribosomal RNA is filed under the name Staphylococcus aureus. RNAcentral's name for it is "partial 23S ribosomal RNA". It matches the Rfam family "Bacterial large subunit ribosomal RNA", at positions 1068 to 1738 of the family's 2925-position model. The record is from RNAcentral. Lineage: Bacteria; Bacillati; Bacillota; Bacilli; Caryophanales; Staphylococcaceae.
AAAGGAUGUGGCGUUGCCCAGACAACUAGGAUGUUGGCUUAGAAGCAGCCAUCAUUUAAAGAGUGCGUAAUAGCUCACUAGUCGAGUGACACUGCGCCGAAAAUGUACCGGGGCUAAACAUAUUACCGAAGCUGUGGAUUGUCCUUUGGACAAUGGUAGGAGAGCGUUCUAAGGGCGUUGAAGCAUGAUCGUAAGGACAUGUGGAGCGCUUAGAAGUGAGAAUGCCGGUGUGAGUAGCGAAAGACGGGUGAGAAUCCCGUCCACCGAUUGACUAAGGUUUCCAGAGGAAGGCUCGUCCGCUCUGGGUUAGUCGGGUCCUAAGCUGAGGCCGACAGGCGUAGGCGAUGGAUAACAGGUUGAUAUUCCUGUACCACCUAUAAUCGUUUUAAUCGAUGGGGGGACGCAGUAGGAUAGGCGAAGCGUGCGAUUGGAUUGCACGUCUAAGCAGUAAGGCUGAGUAUUAGGCAAAUCCGGUACUCAUUAAGGCUGAGCUGUGAUGGGGAGAAGACAUUGUGUCUUCGAGUCGUUGAUUUCACACUGCCGAGAAAAGCCUCUAGAUAGAAAAUAGGUGCCCGUACCGCAAACCGACACAGGUAGUCAAGAUGAGAAUUCUAAGGUGAGCGAGCGAACUCUCGUUAAGGAACUCGGCAAAAUGACCCCGUAACUUCG